GAUUCACCGACAGACUCCCUGUGGGCCUGUUGUGUGUUUUCCUUCCGUGCGCAGAGUAGUUUAAGUGCUGCCCUUCAGUGGAAGCUACUUUAUGUUGAGUUUAAAAUAUCAGAGCGAAACAGAAAACAACCAUCGUCCAUCAACUACAUGUGCAGAGAACGGACUUGCGUUCUUGUGGAGACCGGUCUUGCUGGGUGUCCUCGGAAGAACGAACUCUGGAGAUCAAGAGAACAGAUAACGCGUCCUGUGAGAAAUGAGAUGCUGCAUUCUUCCUGAUGGUCACGUGACCUUCACACGUUUUUAAUGAUGUCCAUGGUGAUGUUUAUAUUCACCAUCUCAUUUAGGGGAACUCCUGAGGUAAAUAAGUGAUAUCUCUGAACUUUAAUAAUAAAUCUAAAUAAAAAGCUGCGCUUCCCACCUCCAAGCGCAAUGACUUCUGGGACUUCUAGAGCGAGUUCGGUGCUCAAGUCUGCAUCGUUGCGUCCUCAAUAUCAAAAUCACAUCCGGGAAGUUUCACGCGUCCUCUGUUCUUGCGGUCUUGAGUAUUGGAACUGAACUUUAACAGCUGAUGAUGAAGCUGAUGAAGAAUGCAUAUUGAGAAACAGCCAUUACGCUUUAUGAGUGAAUAACUCAACUAUAUAUUGAAAAUGAGACUAAAAAUAAAUAUGGGCUGUACGAAUUAUAAUAUUAGAUUUAUAUAUUUAACAUAGUAACAGCAAAUUUUUCAUAGUACUGAAUAUUUUACUAUUUAUUUUUGCUCAGCUGAUUAUUUCUUUAUUUUAUAAUAAAAUAUUUAGUUUAUAAUAAAAACAUUUAUUAAAUUAUAGGUUCUAAGUUCUGUUUCUUAAAACAAAAAGUGUCUUGCAGUUUUGUU
Molecule: long non-coding RNA, 874 nt
Filed under: Danio rerio (zebrafish)
Lineage: Eukaryota; Metazoa; Chordata; Actinopteri; Cypriniformes; Danionidae
Description: si:ch211-264f5.5 (ENSDARG00000092388.2)
Source: RNAcentral